GGCAGGUUCGAGUAGGCACAGUCAUUCCGCACACAGAUGUCCCUGCGUUCACUCUUCUGAUAUGAAUUCUGUCAGCUCCGAAUCUGAGGGAGAGGAGCAGACAGCCACACAGACAGAGUUACAGACAGACACAGACAGAGCAAUUGUCUGGAGGACAAAGAACUCCACAGAUAUUUAUUUUUCUUCCCUGAAAAAAAAUUUUUUUAAUGAAAGAAAAAUAAGAAAGGUUCCUACUAAUUUGGGGGGGACACAUCUGAACCCCGGAGAGUGUCCCUCGCUCCUUCCAUCCUCCCCUGUUUGCCUGCCCAGUCUUUUUCAGUCUCCCCCAGGGCCCCUUGACAUCAUCCCUGAACCUCAAAUAUGAGUGGUGACAACAAAGCCACCGAAGUCUGGAAAGUCUGCUCCCUCACACAGGACCCCAAAUUUCUGAAUCCCUGAAAGUUCUAGAAUACCACCAAGGUGCAAGUUCCAGCAUUCUAGAAUCUCCGAAAUUCAAAAUUCCUGAACUCCCGCUCCUCAGCAGAUUGUGCUCAGUGCCCAAACCUUGUACCACCCUCUCCAUUAGAGAGGGGGAAGUGGGAGCUGUCCUGUCCGGUGCCGGUGCCGUAAUGGAGGGCUCCACAUACCUGGUCCUCACCCGCUGCCCUAAGCCUUGGCAACCAGCCAAAAACGCAGCCUGCCCUUUGAAUUAGCCCCAGCUCAAUCCCCCGAAUGAAAUGGAAUGAAAUGAGGCCACCGUGAGAAACCGGACCGGCUUUGCAUCUCAUUUACAUAAAUAUUUAUUAAUCGUCAUUAAACUGAACAGAAACACGCAAUGCACUUCGGGUGUCCGACGGGAGUUUCAUCUUCGCUACAAGAGGAAGGGAGCGGGGGCAGCGGCUCCUCAAGGCGGCGGGCGCCGGCGUCUUCAGAGCGCCAUGCGAACCGCGGAGCGAGUGUGGCAUCUCUACCAGGCGGGGUACCAGCCUCUAUGCCAGGCCAUAUGGGCUUGGCACGUCACGGGCAGCAGCUAUCACAUGAGAGACGGUGAUUGGCAUGCGUCUGCAUUGGGGGAGAGCCGGCUCCCCCGGGACCCGCCGCCAUCUGUCACUCUCUACUCCAAAAAAAAAAAAAAAAAAAAAAAAUUAAAUAAAUAAAGGAAAUAAAUAAAUAUCUCUGCCGCCCUCCCCUCCCCGCCCAACGCAGGGAAAGCAGGGAUUGAGAGGGAGGUGGGAAGAAUUGCCCCCCUUGGAUAUAGAGCCCCCCACAUGGGAACAAUGAGGUGGCAAGGCUGGAAAUUGGGGGUUUGUGGUGGCCCCCAAUUCUGUGCUCCCUGCAGGGUUCUGCUCUGUCCAUUUCCUCCCUUGCAGGCCCCAAAGGUAGGUCAGGGACCAGACCCUCGGGUCUAGAGAAGGGACCUUUAUGCUUGCUCCCAGCCCCCAGAACCUCCUCAGCCACAAAGGGACAGCUGAGGCCCCCUCCCAGGGUGGGCGUGGGGGGCGUCCCUGGCCCAAGCCCCAUAGGUAGAUGUUGGCACCAUGCCAUCCCUCAUCCCUGUCUGCCCCUCCCCCACCCACUCUCACGCACACACAACAUAUGUGGCUGCACGAAAUUCAAACCAAGGGAAAGACAGAGAAAAGGAAAGACUUGCCUGGAUGUCUGUGCCUCUGCAUGGGCGUGUGUGUGUCUGUGGGGACGUGUGUAUAUCUGGAGUCAGCUGAUGGGAGAGACUUCCUCGGGUGUUUGGGGGGUAUAUGUACAUUUGGGUGAGGGUGGAGAGGAACCCCUGGGAUGAGCCUCUGCACCCACCAUCUGGGAAUUAGGGAGAAGGUCUCAGACUGGAUUCCUAACCCAGAAACCCCUCCCCCCUCCCCCCCGAAACAUCCCCUUGCCUUGCUAGACAAAUGACCAUCCCACCAGUGGCUUUUUCUCCUGACCUUCUGACUUGCUUAUUUGAGGGAAGAGCAGGCUGGGCUGGGAAUAGCCCAAAUUCCUGGAGGAGACUCAAGCAUUCUCCUCCUGCUGCAAAAAGUACUGAAAAUACUGAAACCAACUCCAGCAGUCCUGAGAGAGACCAAGGGGAGGUGGGGCAGGUCAGACAGGUGUCUUGAUAAGAAAGGUCGGAAAUUGCCGUUUUAUCUUAGAGCUCAUCUUUCAACCCUCUCACUGGGCCAGACGCAGAUGUAAAUGGCAGGGGUUAAAGGAGGUAACUUCACACACACAUACAUACACACACACACACACACACACCUGCUCCUCAUUCUGUGGUGCAGAAAAUGGAUACACACCCCUACUCAGAUAGAUAGGUGUGUGAGCAGGUAAUCGCAGCCAGGUGUAGAGAGACCCUUGCCCACACACUGAUUCAGGCAAUUCAGGGUUUCAGAGUCACCUUUCGUGUCCUGCCCCACCCUUCAGCUUACAUUUGCACAACUUCAAUUAUACCUUAAGUGCACACACUUUCAUGUCAACCAUGUGCCAAGCACUAUGCUGGUGCGAAGACUAAGAGCUUCACCCUCAACCUGGGCAGAUACAAUUUUCUCCCUCUAGGGAGUCUUGGCCUGGUAAGACACUGAUUUGAUGCCUGGCAGAAGGAAUUAGGUUCUAAAUAGAGGCACACACAAUGGUAAGGAGGCCUUGGAGAAGGGGCUCUGGUGCUGUCUGAGGCUCUCAGAGGCACUCGGCCGGAACAGAAAGGAGCCUCAGACCGCACAGUCCCAACACCUCCCUUUACAGAGGCCUAUGGUGCAGACUGACUUGCCCAGGAACACACAAGCAGAGAACCCAGGGAACUGACUCCCAGCCCAGUGCUCCUUCUACAACCCCACAAUCUGCCUCAGUGGUCACUGAGAAUGAGAAGUCGAUGGUAAGUUUUCCUCCAUUCAUGCAUCUAGGUCUGGGAAGUAGAACCCCACCCAUGGCAGACGGUCUGGGGCAUUCUGGACAUGGCAGAGAGAGAGGCCAAAGGAUAGGCCUCAGGGGGAAGAGACUCAGGAGUGCUGGGCACAGCCCCAAAGGCUUUACUGUCCCUUUACUGAGGGUGGUGUCUUCAACCCUGGCACAUGGCCUUUCUUGAGCACCCCAGUUGUGUGAUUUUGGUUACAUGCACAUGCUUUGGGCUCUGAUUUGUGGCCUACCCCACUUAUCAGCUUCAAAGAAUGCUGAAUGCCCUGAGCAAGUUACAGAAUGUCUCUUAGCCUUGAUUUCCCCAGCUGUAAAAUGGGGAUAAUUAUGCUACCCCCCCCCCCCACAGAGCUGUUGUUAGUACUAGAUGGGAUGACACCUGUAAUGAGUUUAGCACAGGAGAGCAAUCUAGUGAGGCUCCAAUGAAGGCCAGCUCUCAUUUUUAUUUUAUUAAAGCACUUUGUAAACUGUAACAAGCUUUACAAUGUUAAUUUCUUGCACACAUCACCCCCCCCCCCCACACACACACACACACAUUCAGAAUGCUUUGUCUAUAUAGGAACUGAGUUUUGGUUGAACUAAUGGGUGAAUGAAUGCAUGAGUCAGUGAAUGAAUGCUUCCUUGGGGUAGAAAGAUCCCCCUGCCUCUUCCUUGGACGUGAGGGCUGGGUUCAGCCUCACAGGCCCCUGACCAGCGCUGCUUUCUGCUCUAGGCAGAGGCUGAACCUUGCUCAGGGUAAGGGAGCCCUUGGAAGGUCCUUCCAUCCCUCCCUGGCUCCUGUCAGGAGCGACCCAUCUCUCUGGUCUGAGAAGCCCAGCUCAGUGCCUCGGAGAAGGAGGCCUGAGUGGGGGCAGGGGAGGUGUACCUGGCUGGUAUGGGGAACUCCAUCCCUCUCGGUCUGCUUCCUGCCCCUGUCUUUCCUUCCUUCAGAAAAAUGGAACAAGUUUUUCUCACUCGACACAUUUCAACUUUUUUUUUAGAAGAUACAAUAAAAAACAGGGGAAAAUUGGAACAGAGGGAGGUGUAGAAUGGGCCCGCCUCAGACAUGGGCUUGAAAGAGGUACAACACAUGCGUGUCCACACACACAAACAAGCAUGAACAUACAGGGACAUACAUGCUCCUCUCUGUACACCAAGAGAUGCAGAGAUGCAGCGACAGAGAGACAGAAAGAGCCAGAAAUGGAAGGAAGGAGACGGAAGGAGAAGGACACCCAGAGAUGCCAUCUGUUCCUCCCCCUGGCAUUGGGGGAAGGGAGUUGGUGAGGGGCCUGGUCCCCUCCGGGUCUCUGAGAGGGAAAGGGGAAUGGUGGGCACCUCAGCCAGGCCUGGAAGAGUCCCAUUUCUGCUGCCCACCCCCAUCCAGGGCGCUGGGAGCUGAGGGUCUGAGGUUCCCAUGGAGACAUAGCCCCAUCCCAAGGGAGGCCACAGUCUGGGCACCUAAAAUGGCUGCCUCACAGGGGUGGCGGCCAUUUUGUGCAGGC
This is a non-coding RNA of Equus caballus (horse), 4361 nucleotides long. NCBI's taxonomy places the organism in Eukaryota, Metazoa, Chordata, Mammalia, Perissodactyla, Equidae. The record is from RefSeq and is a predicted model, not a curated record.